GCAGGGGAUCUUCGGACCUUGCGCUAAUAGAUGAGCCUAAGUCGGAUUAGCUAGUUGGUGGGGUAAAGGCCUACCAAGGCGACGAUCUGUAGCGGGUCUGAGAGGAUGAUCCGCCACACUGGGACUGAGACACGGCCCAGACUCCUACGGGAGGCAGCAGUGGGGAAUAUUGGACAAUGGGCGGAAGCCUGAUCCAGCCAUGCCGCGUGUGUGAAGAAGGCCUUUUGGUUGUAAAGCACUUUAAGCGAGGAGGAGGCUCCUUUAGUUAAUACCUAAAGAGAGUGGACGUUACUCGCAGAAUAAGCACCGGCUAACUCUGUGCCAGCAGCCGCGGUAAUACAGAGGGUGCGAGCGUUAAUCGGAUUUACUGGGCGUAAAGCGUGCGUAGGCGGCUUUUUAAGUCGGAUGUGAAAUCCCUGAGCUUAACUUAGGAAUUGCAUUCGAUACUGGGGAGCUAGAGUAUGGGAGAGGAUGGUAGAAUUCCAGGUGUAGCGGUGAAAUGCGUAGAGAUCUNGGAGGAAUACCGAUGGCGAAGGCAGCCAUCUGGCCUAAUACUGACGCUGAGGUACGAAAGCAUGGGGAGCAAACAGGAUUAGAUACCCUGGUGGUCCAUGCCGUAAACGAUGUCUACUAGCCGUUGGGGCCUUUGAGGCUUUAGUGGCGCAGCUAACGCGAUAAGUAGACCGCCUGGGGAGUACGGUCGCAAGACUAAAACUCAAAUGAAUUGACGGGGGCCCGCACAAGCGGCGGAGCAUGUGGUUUAAUUCGAUGCAACGCGAAGAACCUUACCUGGCCUUGACAUACUAAGAACUUUCCAGAGAUGGAUUGGUGCCUUCGGGAACUUAGAUACAGGUGCUGCAUGGCUGUCGUCAGCUCGUGUCGUGAGAUGUUGGGUUAAGUCCCGCAACGAGCGCAACCCUUUUCCUUAUUUGCCAUCGGGUAAUGCCGGGAACUUUAAGGAUACUGCCAGUGACAAACUGGAGGAAGGCGGGGACGACGUCAAGUCAUCAUGGCCCUUACGGCCAGGGCUACACACGUGCUACAAUGGUCGGUACAAAGGGUUGCUACCUCGCGAGAGGAUGCUAAUCUCAAAAAGCCGAUCGUAGUCCGGAUCGCAGUCUGCAACUCGACUGCGUGAAGUCGGAAUCGCUAGUAAUCGCGGAUCAGAAUGCCGCGGUGAAUACGUUCCCGGGCCUUGUACACACCGCCCGUCACACCAUGGGAGUUUGUUGCACCAGAAGUAGGUAGUCUAACCGCAAGGAGGACGCUUA
Molecule: ribosomal RNA, 1271 nt
Filed under: uncultured Acinetobacter sp.
Lineage: Bacteria; Pseudomonadati; Pseudomonadota; Gammaproteobacteria; Moraxellales; Moraxellaceae
Description: bacterial SSU rRNA
Rfam family: Bacterial small subunit ribosomal RNA
Source: RNAcentral